RNAcentral lists this ribosomal RNA (1501 nucleotides) under metagenome. RNAcentral describes it as "bacterial SSU rRNA". It matches the Rfam family "Bacterial small subunit ribosomal RNA". The record is from RNAcentral.
GCUGGCGGCGUGGAUUAGGCAUGCAAGUCGAACGAGAAUCCUAGGCAUCAAGUUUUCGGACGAGAUAAUUAGGAGGAAAGUGGCGAAAGGGUGAGUAACGCGUGGGCAAUUUGCCGUCGAGUUGGGAAUAGCCCUUCGAAAGGAGGGGUAAUGCCGAAUGUGCUCGUGUCGCGCAUGCGGCACUAUGUAAAGGUAGGGACUUCGCUUCGGCGAGGCCUGCCGCUCGAUGAUGAGCCCGCGUCCCAUCAGCUUGUUGGUAGGGUAAUGGCUUACCAAGGCUUACGGGUAGCUGGUCUGAGAGGAUGGUCAGCCACACUGGGACUGAGACACUGCCCAGACUCCUACGGGAGGCUGCAGUCGAGAAUCAUUCGCAAUGCGCGAAAGCGUGACGAUGCGACGCCGCGUGCAGGAUGACGGCCUUCGGGUUGUAAACUGCUGUCAUGGGGGAACAAUGACCAGGGCGCUAAUAUCGCCAGGGUGUGAUAGUACCCGGGAGGAAGCCACGGCUAACUCUGUGCCAGCAGCCGCGGUAAUACAGAGUGGCGAGCGUUGUUCGGAUUUACUGGGCGUAAAGGGUGCGUAGGCGGCUUCGUGUGUCGGAUGUGAAAUCUCACUUUUCAUGGGUGAAAAUGCAUUCGAAACUGCGGGGCUAGAGUACAGGAGAGGAGAGCGGAAUUCACGGUGUAGCGGUGAAAUGCGUAGAUAUCGUGAGGAACAUCGGUGGCGAAGGCGGCUCUCUGGAAUGCUACUGACGCUGAGGCACGAAAGCUGGGGAGCGAACAGGAUUAGAUACCCUGGUAGUCCCAGCUGUAAACGGUGUGCACUUGGUGUGGGUUGGUUUGUCCCAAUCCGUGCCGGAGCUAACGCGUUAAGUGCACCGCCUGGGGAGUACGGUCGCAAGGCUAAAACUCAAAGGAAUUGACGGGGGCCCGCACAAGCGGUGGAGCAUGUGGCUUAAUUCGAUGCAACGCGAAGAACCUUACCAGGGCUUGACAUGUAACUGCACGCCCCGUGAAAGCGGGGUUCCUUCGAGGGUGUUACACAGGUGCUGCAUGGCUGUCGUCAGCUCGUGCCGUGAGGUGUUGGGUUAAGUCCCGCAACGAGCGCAACCCUUGUGGCUAGUUGCCACUCUUACAGAAAUGUGAGAAGCACUCUAGUCAGACUGCCUGUGACAAGCAGGAGGAAGGUGGGGAUGACGUCAAGUCCGUAUGGUCCUUAUGCCCUGGGCUGCACACGUGCUACAAUGGACGGCACAGAGGGAAGCAAAGUCGCGAGGCGGAGCAAAUCCCCAAAAUCGUCCUCAGUUCGGAUCGAAGUCUGCAACUCGACUUCGUGAAGCCGGAAUCGCUAGUAAAGGCGUAUCAGCUACGACGCCUUGAAUACGUUCCCGGGCCUUGUACACACCGCCCGUCACAUCACGAAAGCCGAUUGCACCCGAAGUCGCUGAUCUAACCCUAGCCUUGUGCUAGGGAGGAAGGUGCCGAAGGUGUGAUUGGUAAUU